CAUUCAAUAAGCGGAGGAAAAGAAACUAACAAGGAUUCCCCUAGUAACUGCGAGUGAAGCGGGAAGAGCUCAAAUUUAAAAUCUGGUAGUCUUUGGCUGCCCGAGUUGUAAUCUAGAGAAGCGUUAUCCGCGCUGGACCGUGUACAAGUCUCCUGGAAUGGAGCGUCAUAGAGGGUGAGAAUCCCGUCUUUGACACGGACUACCAGGGCUUUGUGAUACGCUCUCGAAGAGUCGAGUUGUUUGGGAAUGCAGCUCUAAAUGGGUGGUAAAUUCCAUCUAAAGCUAAAUAUUGGCGAGAGACCGAUAGCGAACAAGUACCGUGAGGGAAAGAUGAAAAGAACUUUGGAAAGAGAGUUAAACAGUACGUGAAAUUGUUGAAAGGGAAACGCUUGAAGUCAGUCACGUUGGCUAGGAAUCAGCCUUGCUUUUGCUUGGUGUAUUUCCUGGUUUUAACGGGUCAGCAUCAAUUUCGACCGAUGGAAAAAGGUCAGGGGAAUGUGGCAUCUUAGGAUGUGUUAUAGCCCUUGGUCGUAUACAUCGGUUGGGAUUGAGGAACUCAGCACGCCGCAAGGUCGGGUUAUCUAACCACGUUCGUGCUUAGGAUGCUGGCAUAAUGGCUUUAAUCGACCCGUCUUGAAACACGGACCAAGGAGUCUAACAUGCCUGCGAGUGUUUGGGUGGAAAACCCGAGCGCGUAAUGAAAGUGAAAGUUGAGAUCCCUGUCGUGGGGAGCAUCGACGCCCGGACCAGACCUUCUGUGACGGAUCCGCGGUAGAGCAUGUAUGUUGGGACCCGAAAGAUGGUGAACUAUGCCUGAAUAGGGUGAAGCCAGAGGAAACUCUGGUGGAGGCUCGUAGCGAUUCUGACGUGCAAAUCGAUCGUCAAAUUUGGGUAUAGGGGCGAAAGACUAAUCGAACCAUCUAGUAGCUGGUUCCUGCA
Molecule: ribosomal RNA, 939 nt
Filed under: Lulesia mundula
Lineage: Eukaryota; Fungi; Basidiomycota; Agaricomycetes; Agaricales; Entolomataceae
Description: Clitocella mundula partial large subunit ribosomal RNA
Rfam family: Eukaryotic large subunit ribosomal RNA
Source: RNAcentral